Molecule: ribosomal RNA, 253 nt
Filed under: uncultured bacterium
Lineage: Bacteria
Description: partial 16S ribosomal RNA
Rfam family: Bacterial small subunit ribosomal RNA
Source: RNAcentral
UACGUAGGGGGCAAGCGUUGUCCGGAAUCAUUGGGCGUAAAGAGCGUGUAGGCGGCCCGGUAAGUCCGCUGUGAAAGUCCAGGGCUCAACCCUGGGAUGCCGGUGGAUACUGUCGGGCUCGAGUCCGGAAGAGGAGUGUGGAAUUCCUGGUGUAGCGGUGAAAUGCGCAGAUAUCAGGAGGAACACCAGUAGCGAAGGCGGCUCGCUGGGCCAUUCCUGACGCUGAGACGCGAAAGCUAGGGGAGCGAACAGG